This 253-nucleotide ribosomal RNA is filed under the name uncultured bacterium. RNAcentral describes it as "partial 16S ribosomal RNA". It matches the Rfam family "Bacterial small subunit ribosomal RNA", at positions 524 to 776 of the family's 1533-position model. The record is from RNAcentral.
GACGGAGGGGGCUAGCGUUGUUCGGAAUUACUGGGCGUAAAGCGCACGUAGGCGGAUAGGUAAGUUAAAAGUAAAAGCCCAGGGCUCAACCUUGGAAUCGCUUUUAAUACUGCUUAUCUAGAGUAAGAUAGGGGAUAACGGAAUUCCUAGUGUAGAGGUGAAAUUCUUAGAUAUUAGGAGGAACACCGGGGGCGAAAGCGGUUAUCUGGGUCUUAACUGACGCUAAUGUGCGAAAGCGUGGGGAGCAAACAGG